GACGAACGCUGGCGGCGUGCUUAACACAUGCAAGUCGAACGAAGAGCGAUGGAAGCUUGCUUCUAUCAUUCUUAGUGGCGAACGGGUGAGUAACGCGUAAUCAACCUGCCCUUCAGAGGGGGACAACAGUUGGAAACGACUGCUAAUACCGCAUACGAUCUAAUCUCGGCAUCGAGGAUAGAUGAAAGGUGGCCUCUACAUGUAUGGUAUCACUGGAGGAGGGGAUUGCGUCUGAUUAGCUAGUUGGAGGGGUAACGGCCAACCAAGGCGAUGAUCAGUAGCCGGUCUGAAAGGAUGAACAGCCACAUUGGGACUAAAACACGGCCCAGACUCCUACGAGAGACAACAGUCGGAAAUCUUCCGCAAAGGACGAAAGUCUGAAUGAGAAACGCCGCGGGAAACACUACUGCCUUCAUGUUGUAAAAAUCUUUUAAUCGGUACGAAAGUACUUCUUGCUAAUAUGGAAAAAGAUUGACGGUACCAGAAGAAAAAGCCACGGCUAACUACGUG
Molecule: ribosomal RNA, 510 nt
Filed under: uncultured bacterium
Lineage: Bacteria
Description: partial 16S ribosomal RNA
Rfam family: Bacterial small subunit ribosomal RNA
Source: RNAcentral